Molecule: ribosomal RNA, 1374 nt
Filed under: Lactobacillus sp.
Lineage: Bacteria; Bacillati; Bacillota; Bacilli; Lactobacillales; Lactobacillaceae
Description: bacterial SSU rRNA
Rfam family: Bacterial small subunit ribosomal RNA
Source: RNAcentral
GUGAGUGGCGAACUGGUGAGUAACACGUGGGAAACCUGCCCAGAAGCGGGGGAUAACACCUGGAAACAGAUGCUAAUACCGCAUAACAACUUGGACCGCAUGGUCCGAGUUUGAAAGAUGGCUUCGGCUAUCACUUUUGGAUGGUCCCGCGGCGUAUUAGCUAGAUGGUGGGGUAACGGCUCACCAUGGCAAUGAUACGUAGCCGACCUGAGAGGGUAAUCGGCCACAUUGGGACUGAGACACGGCCCAAACUCCUACGGGAGGCAGCAGUAGGGAAUCUUCCACAAUGGACGAAAGUCUGAUGGAGCAACGCCGCGUGAGUGAAGAAGGGUUUCGGCUCGUAAAACUCUGUUGUUAAAGAAGAACAUAUCUGAGAGUAACUGUUCAGGUAUUGACGGUAUUUAACCAGAAAGCCACGGCUAACUACGUGCCAGCAGCCGCGGUAAUACGUAGGUGGCAAGCGUUGUCCGGAUUUAUUGGGCGUAAAGCGAGCGCAGGCGGUUUUUUAAGUCUGAUGUGAAAGCCUUCGGCUCAACCGAAGAAGUGCAUCGGAAACUGGGAAACUUGAGUGCAGAAGAGGACAGUGGAACUCCAUGUGUAGCGGUGAAAUGCGUAGAUAUAUGGAAGAACACCAGUGGCGAAGGCGGCUGUCUGGUCUGUAACUGACGCUGAGGCUCGAAAGUAUGGGUAGCAAACAGGAUUAGAUACCCUGGUAGUCCAUACCGUAAACGAUGAAUGCUAAGUGUUGGAGGGUUUCCGCCCUUCAGUGCUGCAGCUAACGCAUUAAGCAUUCCGCCUGGGGAGUACGGCCGCAAGGCUGAAACUCAAAGGAAUUGACGGGGGCCCGCACAAGCGGUGGAGCAUGUGGUUUAAUUCGAAGCUACGCGAAGAACCUUACCAGGUCUUGACAUACUAUGCAAAUCUAAGAGAUUAGACGUUCCCUUCGGGGACAUGGAUACAGGUGGUGCAUGGUUGUCGUCAGCUCGUGUCGUGAGAUGUUGGGUUAAGUCCCGCAACGAGCGCAACCCUUAUUAUCAGUUGCCAGCAUUAAGUUGGGCACUCUGGUGAGACUGCCGGUGACAAACCGGAGGAAGGUGGGGAUGACGUCAAAUCAUCAUGCCCCUUAUGACCUGGGCUACACACGUGCUACAAUGGAUGGUACAACGAGUUGCGAACUCGCGAGAGUAAGCUAAUCUCUUAAAGCCAUUCUCAGUUCGGAUUGUAGGCUGCAACUCGCCUACAUGAAGUCGGAAUCGCUAGUAAUCGCGGAUCAGCAUGCCGCGGUGAAUACGUUCCCGGGCCUUGUACACACCGCCCGUCACACCAUGAGAGUUUGUAACACCCAAAGUCGGUGGGGUAACCUUUUAGGAACCA